GACAGAGGAGGCGAGCGUUAUCCGGAGUCAUUGGGCGUAAAGGGUACGUAGGCGGCUAGUCAAGUCUGAGGUUAAAGACCACAGCUUAACUGUGGGAAGGCCUUGGAAACUGACUGGCUAGAGUGGGGCAGGGGAUGCGGGAAUUCCCGGUGUAGCGGUUAAAUGCGUAGAUAUCGGGAAGAACACCUGAGGCGAAAGCGCGCAACUGGGCCCUGCCUGACGCUGAGGUACGAAAGCUAGGGGAGCGAAUGGG
RNAcentral lists this ribosomal RNA (253 nucleotides) under uncultured bacterium. Its description in RNAcentral is "partial 16S ribosomal RNA". It matches the Rfam family "Bacterial small subunit ribosomal RNA", at positions 524 to 776 of the family's 1533-position model. The record is from RNAcentral.